AUCUCACUGGUGUACUGGCAGCACAGAAGUCUCCAAAGCUUUUAGACAGGGUUCGAUUCCUUGGUGAGGUGC
Molecule: transfer RNA, 72 nt
Filed under: Rhodococcus phage NiceHouse
Lineage: Duplodnaviria; Heunggongvirae; Uroviricota; Caudoviricetes
Description: tRNA-Trp
Rfam family: tRNA
About the family: Transfer RNA (tRNA) molecules are approximately 80 nucleotides in length.
Source: RNAcentral